This is a long non-coding RNA of Carassius gibelio (silver crucian carp), 1057 nucleotides long. RefSeq lists it as uncharacterized. The transcript is spliced from 4 exons. Lineage: Eukaryota; Metazoa; Chordata; Actinopteri; Cypriniformes; Cyprinidae. The record is from RefSeq and is a predicted model, not a curated record.
AAUAAAAUAAACAAUUUACUUAGCAAAUGGUGAUAAUGUUUGUUAAUGAAAGAGAGUACGGGACAAAUUAACAUUUAAACCUUAAACUAGCAGCGCACGUCACUUUCUGAAUGAGGUGCGCGACGUGCGCGUGCCCGUCAUUUUGUAACGGUCAACUUCCAGCGGACGGACACGGAGGAAAGGGCCUGACAACCACCAGUUGAGUCCAUGAUUCAGGGAAGAGACAGUCUGGGCAGCAGCAACAAGACAACUAUUACAAGUAGAGAUGGGUUUCAAGAACUGGUACUAAUUUGGUUCCUGACUUGUUCAGUACUGAAAACAUUUACAUAAGGUACAGGAUCAAUAGUGCUGCUAUCAGUAUUCUUGUAACAUUGAUUCAUUACCCUUUAGACACAACCACAUAUCCUCCAAAUCAUCUCUGCGUGGAUGGCAGCAAGGAUCCAGGAUCAAGAGAUCAUUCAUCAUGGAGACUGUUCCACAGGAAGCAGUUUCUCCUGGGUCAUCCUGACCAUUCUGCUGUCCUGGAUGUAAGGCCGUGCUGCAACUACAUUUCUCGUGGUUGAAAGAUUUGUGCAGCGGUAUAAAGACAUAUAACGCCCCAUCACACGGGGCGUCAACGCCUCUCGUUUACUUUUAAAUGAAGUGACGUCAAGGAUGGUGAAAUUAAUUCUAGAAAUUAAUUCUAAAUAGAAGUUGAAGACUUCUCAAGCGCCAAUGCAGCCGUCCUCCAGUCAGAACAUCUUAUGCAAAUACCCUAGCGCAGACGCAAGCCAAUCGAGUGCAUGCAAUACCAGAAAACUAAUGUGAUUGGCUGUCACUAUGAGAAGAGACAGUAGUUCUGAUCCGAUAUCAGUGUCGUUUUUUACAAAAAAAAUUUUAAAUCAAUGUAGAAUUUUCUAUACUUCUGUGUAGGGAUGUCAAUUUUCAAUCAUUUCCAUGAUCGAUCGUUGUUUAAAUUAAUGAACAAAUAAUCGAUUAAUCGUUAACCUUAAUGCUGCAAAGUCUAUUGCAGUAACACCCAGUCACUGGUAUGACAGGAUGUGCAAAAGUGUGUAUA